Long non-coding RNA from Cimex lectularius (bed bug), 709 nucleotides. RefSeq lists it as uncharacterized. Lineage: Eukaryota; Metazoa; Arthropoda; Insecta; Hemiptera; Cimicidae. The transcript has 2 exons. The record is from RefSeq and is a predicted model, not a curated record.
AAACAUUUUUAGAAUAGCGAGGAUAAAAAAAAUAAAUAAAAAGUAUAUACGCAAAAAAGAAAAAAGAAAACAAAAAGAAUAGCAAUAAUAUAUAAUAUAUAUUUUUUAAAUAAGAACUUUAAAACAAUAAUUGAAAAAAUAUUUAAAAAGAAAAGUAUAAAAGAAUAUUUUAAAAAGAUUUAAAUUAGUCAUGUAUUUAAAAAAAAUAAAAUUGAUGUAAUAAAAAAUAAAAAGUAAUAUUUUUUUAAAGAAAAGAAUUAGAAAAAAAAUCUUUCCACCAUAGACAUUAUUUUUAUUGUCGGCUGAAUUUCUAGGCAGUGUUAGAUGAAAAUACCAAUUUUAAAUUUUUUAAUUUCAAUGAACAUUUUAAAUAGUAUUUUCAACUGAAUAACACACUGAAUAGCAAUUCAGUUUACAAUAAAAAUAACAAAAUAGCAUUUGUACCACCACUGGAAAUGUUAAAAAAAAUCAGACAGACCAAACCAGGAAGGAUAGACAGUCUAGGAGGACCAUAAAACUGCGAUUCACCUGGAUGCGGUUCAAAGAGGAAAAGUGGACUUCGUCGCCUAAUGGAGUCACUAAGCAGCAACUUUACAGGUCAAAUGCUCAGAUGGAAGCUUGGAAGCUCUCCAGAAGAAAAUUUAUCGGAUAUAACAAUCAAUAAAUUACGGACGACAUUAUUUUAUUAAAUAAACAAGCAUUUAAAUAA